Long non-coding RNA from Micropterus dolomieu (smallmouth bass), 868 nucleotides. RefSeq lists it as uncharacterized. Lineage: Eukaryota; Metazoa; Chordata; Actinopteri; Centrarchiformes; Centrarchidae. The record is from RefSeq and is a predicted model, not a curated record. The transcript is spliced from 2 exons.
GGCGAGCUCCACGAAUGUGUGCGUGCGCGCAACAACGUGUUUGAGUGUGUGCGCGAGUGUGUGAACGUGUGUGUGUGUGAUAGAGAGAGUGAGUGUGUGUGUGCAUGCGUGCGCGCGUGUGUCUGCUCUGCUGUUGCUGCCCUUUGAUCCCUGCAUUAGUGUUAGUUAGGGGCUCGGAGACACACUUGCACCGAGAGCAGCCAUAGUCAAGACACGGCAACAACAACAGCGGCACCUCCUCCGCCUGUGUUCCCAUUCCCCAACAAUACACUUUAAACCGAGCAAAGCCAGGUGCACGACCAAGUCCCUGCCAUCACUGGCGCCUCCAGUCUCAAUGGGAAAAACCUUUUUUCUUCUUAUCCCUAAACAAGGACGAGAAUGUGAUUAAAAACGGGGGAAAAUGCCAAGGAGGAAGCAGGAGCAACCCAAGCGCCUGCCUUCACACACAAAAUCACCUCUGCGAGGAGCUUCAGUUUGCCAGAAAACUACACAGCAGGGUGAUGGCCUGUUCUUUUCGCACUUGUUCCAAAGAAUGUACCCCAUCUACUUGAGAAUGCUGGCGCGACAUCCACGUCUUGGUUGAAUGAGGUUACUUUUGUCAACCGGAAGAAAAAUUUAUGCGAUCUGACUUGUAUGUCAAGUGGCUUGUAAUUAGUAGUUUUCAAAACUACAUGAAAUGGUAAUCUGACCUGUAUUCAUGACAGUUUUGUCUGAUAUAAAGCAAAUAUGUGAGGGGUUAUUUUAGUUGAGCAUUUGCGGGCAUAUGCUAAUUACUCAGUGUUUGAGAAAAGGAAAAAAAGUAAAAAAAGCACUGAAAAUAUAUUGCUGUUAUGUCUCUGUAGUAGCUGUAAUAAACUGGUUACCACCA